RNAcentral lists this long non-coding RNA (2145 nucleotides) under Anneissia japonica. RNAcentral describes it as "uncharacterized LOC117106425". The record is from RNAcentral. Lineage: Eukaryota; Metazoa; Echinodermata; Crinoidea; Comatulida; Comatulidae.
AUACAGUAUAUACUUUAUUAUUAUAUAUAUUAUAUUAUAUGUUAUUUGUAUAUACAGUAGGCCUAUAAGUGAUAUAAGCUAUAUAAUUCUUAAUGUAUAUAUAUUUUGAUGUUGCAAUCGAAUCAAGCAUACUCGUAGACUUUCAACAAAUAGUUCAUUUCAUUGAAGGGCUAUGCUUAUCGGUACGAUUGUAAUUGCUACUAUUAUUUUUCUAUUUGUUUAUAUUGUGUAGACGGUGCUAUUUAAAUAUAUAUAUAUAUAUAUAUAUAUAUAUAUAUAUUGUACAUAUUCUGAUUAUAUUACUUAUAUUGUUUUGAUUGAUUUAUUCAUCAAAUAGGCCUAAGUCCCUAAACAUAUUACCGACUCACCUUCUGUUGCUAUUUUUAACACCAAAAACAAAAGUCAACUUUUGAACAUCUAACAUGCACAGCGCCUUUGAUUUUUACUUCGGUUUAGUGAUUUUGGCGCUUUAUAAAUUAUUAUUAUAAUUAUUAUAUAUGUUAGGUAUAUGUAUAUAUUUGUGUACCGUAUGUAUUAAUCAAUACGUGAAAUCAAUUCCACUGGUAUAAAGAGACGUUGUCAUCGAAUAGCCAGAAUUGUAAAAGGAAGUACAAUAAAUAAUAUCUAUAAUUCAGUCAGUACUUGACAUACAUACAGGAAUUGUGACAGAUUUCUAAAGUUUCUUCCUCGUUUUGCUACAAGUACAAUGGAAGGAAAUGGGCGCGCCCUUAUAGCGGAUUCCACUACCAGGUUAAAUUGUGGUGAAUUGUUAAAGAGUUCAGGUAGCUUUGUUGUUAAACCUCAGAUGAUAUGUUAAUGCUAGGUCAAUCUGAUAUCGUAUUGACAGGGAAAUAUUUGAGCAGAAAAAAAAGAAUAAACUUAAAAUCACUGACAACAAUGAUUAAAUUUCCGUUUGUAUUUGAUAUAUUUUACUCUCUGUCAUGUUUAACCCGACUUUUCGCUUUAAACCCGCAUUAAUAACAAACGUUAAACAAGUAUAUUCUGAUUUACUAUUAUAGCUAGGCAGAAGACCUAGCGAAAUAGGCCUAUGUAUAUGUUCGCUCGCAAAAUACUCAAGAUACUGAGCCUAAAUUCGGCGAUCUCUUCAGCACCGUCUUGAGACACAAAUUAUUGUAGGCCCACCUUAAAAUUCUGCUUGUAUAAAUUCUUACCAAUUACCAGGGGGGAAGCGCACACUCCCAAAAUCCUCGGCAAAGGCUUCCUCCAUUGAAUAUUUUCUAUGCAAAAAAAAAUAUCACUCAGGUAAAAACAAAUCACCUCAUAUCACCUUAUUUUGCGAGCUGAGCGCCAUAACCAUGAGACCCCCUCCCACUUAACAUUCGCGCCUCCAUUAGCCCCAUCAUCCCCCUUUCAAUAAUCGUUAUAGAUACACGUACCACUGGCUAUACUGUAUAGCAUACAGCCUGGAGCAACAAAAACAAUGCCGAUUGCUUAUCAUUGUCGUCGUGAACUGUCUUUAAAUGAGUAAAAAAGUGUUUCAAUCUAAGUCUCAUUAGAAUUUGUUAAUCAUUUGAGUCCUUUUCUCAGUUUAAUGUUUGUCUUGAAUGAGAUGUUAAUAUAUUUGAAUUUACUCGAGUUAAGGACCUUAUUUUGCGAAUAUUGAAGGUAAAAGCAGUAUACUUUAAUGAUUGUCAUUUAUGAACUAUUUAAAACCAGGUUUAAGAGUAAAAUCUCUCGAUCACAAGGCAGGUUAAUGCAUUAUGAUGAAUUAUAUAUAUAUAUAUAUAUAUAUAUAUAUAUAUAUAUAUAUAAUAUUCAUAAUAGAUCCGAUUACACACUUGAGUCAAAGUAAGGUACAUUUGGUGUCAUUGACCGAAAACCUGCCAGUGCAAACCUUCCUGUUUGUGGUUGUUAUAAUAAUCUUUAGAAAGGAAGAGAGAUAACUAUGGCUGUACAAUAUCAAUUAGUUAAUUUUAAGAAUUGAAAAUAAUAUUACGAGUAAAUCGACAUUCUUUCAAACAGAGAUCAGACUAAAUCGUUAUAAGCCUAUACUUUACACAAAAAAAACAUCGGGAAGCAUUGUUUGAUUUGAAUAAUGUAGGCCUAUCUAUAUACUGUUACUAUAUAAGUAAUCAAUAUUUGAAAAUAAAUCGGUUCUCCAAUCCUAAAGAAUGGUUAAAGUUA